Rattus norvegicus (Norway rat) is the source of this 947-nucleotide long non-coding RNA. RefSeq lists it as uncharacterized. The record is from RefSeq and is a predicted model, not a curated record. NCBI's taxonomy places the organism in Eukaryota, Metazoa, Chordata, Mammalia, Rodentia, Muridae.
UCCAUUUGAGGCAAUGCACCCCACAGAUAUUUAUUCUCUGCACAUUAAGAAGUUUGUUAACUGGCAUCUAAUGUAAGGAGAAACUUCUCUGAUAAGGAUGGAAAGAUGUUCUGCUCUAUAGUAAGAAGUCACCGAGAGUCAUCUUAAUACUAUGUCCGUUUAGCAAAACAUAGCCUCAGGCUCUUCCCUAGGGGCUAAGAGCUAUUUGGCCACAAGUUCUUAGCCCCUUUAACAGUGCCAGAUACAGGCUCCAGCUCAGGGAGGAGGUCUUAGAUUUCAGCAGAAAGUGGUUACUUCCAUAACAUUUGUACCAUUAUUGUACCAGUAGAUAUAUCUUGUUAUACCAGUAGUUGUUAAAAGUUGCAGGGUUCACAGCUAGGUGAGAUUGGAGAUUUCCCCUUUUCCCUUCCAUUGAUAUGCUCAGAAACUUUUAACACUGGCUAAUAGGAAUGAAACUUUUAGGUGAAAAUUAGCUUGGUUUCUCCAUGUUCUGUGACUCUGCUAUGACAUCAUUAAUAGGAUCGCACUGUAAAGUUCUAGAAGGCAGUCGAGAGUACUGGUUAUAACCUGUACUGCUUGGAGUGGAGGUGUCUAUGUGACUGCAUUAGUCUGUAGCACAAGAGCAGAUGACCUACUCCUGGUUCUGAAGUUCUUCUGCCCUAGCAUGAGAUAACAUCUAGUUGGAGUAUUGUCUCUAUGUUGGAAGCUCGUGGAACACAGCUCAGAGCCCUCACAACAAAGGAAGGAUCUGUGACAAUGGGAACAAAGACAUCACACCCUCCAUUGGCUUCUAGCUGCCUUGCAUUUUGCCCCACCCAGCCACACGUCGUAAUUAGUCAUGGGUUAUUUGGCCAUUGCAGACGUUUUUCUUUAAGUGUGGGCCAACAUCCCUUUUGGUGAACCUAUCUGAGAGUUGUGGUUUCUUGAUUAAAUUUAUUUCUUUCGAA